RNAcentral lists this ribosomal RNA (482 nucleotides) under uncultured bacterium. Its description in RNAcentral is "bacterial SSU rRNA". It matches the Rfam family "Bacterial small subunit ribosomal RNA", at positions 30 to 507 of the family's 1533-position model. The record is from RNAcentral.
AUUGAACGCUGGCGGAAUGCUUUACACAUGCAAGUCGAACGGUAGAGGGGGCAACCCCUUGAGAGUGGCGAACGGGUGAGUAAUAUAUCGGAACGUGCCCAGUCGUGGGGGGUAACGUAGCGAAAGUUACGCUAAUACCGCAUACGAUCUAAGGAUGAAAGCGGGGGACUCGCAAGAGCCUCGCGCGAUUAGAGCGGCCGAUGCCUGAUUAGCUUGUUGGUGGGGUAAAAGCCCACCAAGGCGACGAUCAGUAGCUGGUCUGAGAGGACGAUCAGCCACACUGGGACUGAGACACGGCCCAGACUCCUACGGGAGGCAGCAGUGGGGAAUUUUGGACAAUGGGGGAAACCCUGAUCCAGCCAUGCCGCGUGAGUGAAGAAGGCCUUCGGGUUGUAAAGCUCUUUCAGACGGAAAGAAAUACGGUGUGUUAAUACAUGCACUGGAUGACGGUACCGUAAGAAGAAGCACCGGCUAACUACGUG